UACGAAGGGGGCUAGCGUUGGGCGGAAUUACUGGGCGUAAAGGGCGCGUAGGCGGCACUGUUAGUCAGGCGUGAAAGUCCUGGGCUCAACCUGGGAACUGCGCUUGAUACGGCAGAGCUAGAGGAUGGAAGAGGCUCGCGGAAUUCCCAGUGUAGAGGUGAAAUUCGUAGAUAUUGGGAAGAACACCGGUGGCGAAGGCGGCGAGCUGGUCCAUUACUGACGCUGAGGCGCGACAGCGUGGGGAGCAAACAGG
Molecule: ribosomal RNA, 253 nt
Filed under: uncultured bacterium
Lineage: Bacteria
Description: partial 16S ribosomal RNA
Rfam family: Bacterial small subunit ribosomal RNA
Source: RNAcentral